This 413-nucleotide ribosomal RNA is filed under the name uncultured bacterium. Its description in RNAcentral is "bacterial SSU rRNA". It matches the Rfam family "Bacterial small subunit ribosomal RNA", at positions 505 to 918 of the family's 1533-position model. The record is from RNAcentral.
GUGUCAGCCGCCGCGGUAAUACGGAGGGGGUUAGCGUUGUUCGGAAUUACUGGGCGUAAAGCGUACGUAGGCGGAUUAGUCAGUUAGGGGUGAAAUCCCAGGGCUCAACCCUGGAACUGCCUCUAAUACUGCUAGUCUUGAGUUCGAGAGAGGUGAGUGGAAUUCCGAGUGUAGAGGUGAAAUUCGUAGAUAUUCGGAGGAACAUCAGUGGCGAAGGCGGCUCACUGGCUCGAUACUGACGCUGAGGUACGAAAGUGUGGGGAGCAAACAGGAUUAGAUACCCUGGUAGUCCACACCGUAAACGAUGAAUGCCAGACGUCGGGUAGCAUGCUAUUCGGUGUCACACCUAACGGAUUAAGCAUUCCGCCUGGGGAGUACGGUCGCAAGAUUAAAACUUAAAUGAAUUGGCGGGG